RNAcentral lists this ribosomal RNA (253 nucleotides) under uncultured bacterium. RNAcentral describes it as "partial 16S ribosomal RNA". It matches the Rfam family "Bacterial small subunit ribosomal RNA", at positions 524 to 776 of the family's 1533-position model. The record is from RNAcentral.
UACAGAGGUCCCAAGCGUUGUUCGGAUUCACUGGGCGUAAAGGGUGCGUAGGCGGUCGGGUAAGUCUGAUGUGAAAUCUCACAGCUUAACUGUGAAACUGCAUUGGAUACUAUCCGGCUCGAGGAAUGGAGGGGAGACUGGAAUACUUGGUGUAGCAGUGAAAUGCGUAGAUAUCAAGUGGAACACCAGUGGCGAAGGCGAGUCUCUGGACAUUUCCUGACGCUGAGGCGCGAAAGCUAGGGGAGCAAACGGG